GACGAACGCUGGCGGCGUGCUUAACACAUGCAAGUCGAACGGAAAGGCCCUGCUUUUGUGGGGUGCUCGAGUGGCGAACGGGUGAGUAACACGUGAGUAACCUGCCCUUGACUUUGGGAUAACUUCAGGAAACUGGGGCUAAUACCGGAUAGGAGCUCCUGCUGCAUGGUGGGGGUUGGAAAGUUUCGGCGGUUGGGGAUGGACUCGCGGCUUAUCAGCUUGUUGGUGGGGUAGUGGCUUACCAAGGCUUUGACGGGUAGCCGGCCUGAGAGGGUGACCGGCCACAUUGGGACUGAGAUACGGCCCAGACGCCUACGGGAGGCAGCAGUGGGGAAUAGUGCACAAUGGGCGGAGGCCUGAUGCAGCAACGCCGCGUGCGGGAUGACGGCCUUCGGGUUGUAAACCGCUUUCGCCUGUGACGAAGCGUGAGUGACGGUAAUGGGUAAAGAAGCACCGGCUAACUACGU
This 467-nucleotide ribosomal RNA is filed under the name uncultured bacterium. RNAcentral's name for it is "partial 16S ribosomal RNA". It matches the Rfam family "Bacterial small subunit ribosomal RNA", at positions 28 to 506 of the family's 1533-position model. The record is from RNAcentral.